GUGCCCGUAGCUCAGCCGGUAGAGCACGUGACUUUUAAUCAUGGGGUCCAGGGUUCGAGUCCCUGCGGGCACA
Molecule: transfer RNA, 73 nt
Filed under: Teichococcus aerophilus
Lineage: Bacteria; Pseudomonadati; Pseudomonadota; Alphaproteobacteria; Acetobacterales; Roseomonadaceae
Also listed under: 1 other name
Description: tRNA-Lys
Rfam family: tRNA
About the family: Transfer RNA (tRNA) molecules are approximately 80 nucleotides in length.
Source: RNAcentral